Molecule: ribosomal RNA, 368 nt
Filed under: Chaetodon collare (redtail butterflyfish)
Lineage: Eukaryota; Metazoa; Chordata; Actinopteri; Chaetodontiformes; Chaetodontidae
Description: partial 12S ribosomal RNA
Rfam family: Bacterial small subunit ribosomal RNA
Source: RNAcentral
UAAACAUUGACAGUAAACUACACCUACUGUCCGCCUGGGAACUACGAGCACCAGCUUAAAACCCAAAGGACUUGGCGGUGCUUUAGACCCACCUAGAGGAGCCUGUCCUAGAACCGAUAAUCCCCGUUAAACCUCACCCUUCCUUGUUCUUUUCAGCCUAUAUACCACCGUCGUCAGCUUACCCUGUGAAGGCCCAAUAGUAAGCGAGAUCGGCACUGCCCCAAACGUCAGGUCGAGGUGUAGCCUAUGGAAGGGGAAGAGAUGGGCUACAUUCACUGGUACAGUGAAUACGAAUGAUCACCCUGAAAUGGGUAUCUGAAGGAGGAUUUAGCAGUAAGCAAAAAAUAGAGUGUUUUGCUGAAGUUGGC